Molecule: non-coding RNA, 287 nt
Organism: Paramuricea clavata
Lineage: Eukaryota; Metazoa; Cnidaria; Anthozoa; Malacalcyonacea; Plexauridae
Source: the annotation of a GenBank genome assembly
GUCUCAGGUUUCUCCAAUCAGAUGAACAAAUUAACAUAGUUGUAAGAUUUUGCAUCUGAUUCAUUGUAAUGAAUAAUGUAGUUCCACAGGAAUGAUUGGCAAUCUAAAAAAGCAAAAAAUAAAAUAAAUAAACAGAUUAGAUUAUUAAUUAAACAUGUCCAGUGACUUGGCAUGUCUGAGAAAUUGACCUUUGAGAGCCAAAAAAUACCAUUGCACAAUAACCAAUGCACUAUAAAUCUAGGGGAAUCACUAUAAAGUAUAAUUUGACCAAUCCCCCACCAUUGGGU